Bos taurus (domestic cattle) is the source of this 2494-nucleotide long non-coding RNA. The record is from Ensembl. Lineage: Eukaryota; Metazoa; Chordata; Mammalia; Artiodactyla; Bovidae.
GGGAAGCCCCUUGUUAUUUCUUUUAAUAGAAGACAUCAUCUAUUGGCACACAUAAAUGAUGAGUCUGGAGGUAGCUCCUACCUCCAGGCAUGAACUGUUUCAAACAAUACAGUCAACAUGGUUUCUCUCCAGCUCCUCCAAGGUCAUGAGCUACAAGGUGCCAUGACCCCAGCCAGCAGUGCCAAGAGAAAGGUAAGCUGCCACUCUUGCUUAGCAACUGUCUUUGGCCUGAAAUAGGUCAUGGAGUCAGGCCUGACCACUCACUAGGAUGAGAAGGAUGAGAUGUCAGACCUUGUCCCAGCCUGUCCUUACAGUGAAGAACAAAGCUGAGCCAACCUGAGGGCUGGGCAAAAGUGUGGUAAAGGUUCUGCCAAUGAGAAGUGCUGGUGGGAGACUGGAAGAUGGUAAAGAAGGCAGCCCCUCUCAUCUUCGGCUCCUGUGGCUCUCCUCAAGGGCUCCCUACAGACUCUCUUAGAGAUCUCAGCACCAGACAUGCAAGUCUCUCAAUCCAGCACCAGCCUGUGGUGGCCCAUCCAUUUCGUCUGAAACACCUCCUGCAUUUCAAACAAAAGUUUCUAUUUCCUAGAUCUUAGCUGAUAGGAUACGUGCUACCAAGAUCAGGAGUUAUUUUCGACCUCCUGGAACAUAUUCAACUUUCUAAUGCAUCUGAGGUACCUGCCCUUCCUGUUCCUCGGUCUAUGCAGGAAGAUGUCAUGAACGUAAUGAUCAGGGUGAUGUUCUGGGGAACGUCAGGAAGAUUCAGCUCUCUGCUGGCACAGUGACGGCAGUGGGAAGGAGAGGUGACAUAAGCCUGAGGCUAGACAACUGAAGAUCUAUUGCUGCCACACCUCCUUCCUGCCUGGGUCCUGAUGAUACAGCAGCCCUUUUUAGGAUAUGCAUUUGAGGAUGAACUAUGCUGAGGCUGCCAAAAAAACAGGAUAUUUUGGGGGAAAAUCUUAAAAUCUCUAGAUUCAGAGAAAGGAAUGAUUUUUCUUUUUUCCUAUUUUUUUGGUAGCACCACGUGACAGAAAAUUGUUUUAAAAUAAACCUGGAUAGACAAACUGUGGCAUAUUCAUCCAAUAUGUAUUGAAUGACAUAGUAGUUUAUGAAGCAAAGAAAAAUAGUGAACUCUAGCUGCAGAGAACCAGAGAUGAACUCCUAGGACAUAACACUGAGCAAAAGAAACCAGACACAAAAGAAUUCACUGUAUGAAGCAAUUUUUACAACAUUCAAGAACAAGGAAAACUAUUCCAAGGUGAUAGCAGUCAGAAUAAUGGUUAGCUUUUGAAGAGAGAUUAAUACGGGUGGAGACACAUAGAAGCGUUCUGAGCUGCUGGAAAUUUCUACGUCUUAAUUAGGAUGGUUGUUACAUGGAUGUGUACUGAGAAUUUACAUCCAGUAAGAAUUUGCUGAGCUGUACACUUAUGAGUUGCACAUUCUACAUGUGUAUCUCUCAAUAAAAAAGCAAUACAAAACUCUCAGUACAGAUAAGACAUUAAAAGUAUUUAUAAAAUAAACAGAUGUGUAACUUGAGCUACUGCAUGGUAAACAGAAGGGGAAAAGGUGGAAGUAGUGACAGAUUUCCUCUUCUUGGGCUCCAAAAUCACAGCUGACAGUGACUGCAGCUAUGAAACCAGAAGACGAUUGCUUCUUGGCAGGAAAGCAAUGACAAACCUAGACAGGGUGUUGAAAAGCAGAGAUAUUACUCUGCCAACAAAGGUCUGUAUAGUCAAGGCUAUGGUCUUCCCAGUGGUCACAUACAGUUGUGAGAGCUGGACCAUAAAAAAGGCAGAGUGCCGAAGAAUUGAUGCCUUUGAACUGUGGUGCUGGAGAAGACUUCUGAAAAUCCCUCGGAUGGCAAGGAGAUCAAACCAGUCGAUCUUAAGGGAGAUCAACCCUGAAUACUCACUGGAAGGACUGAUGCUGAAGCUCCAGUAUUUUGGUCAUCUGAUGUGAACAGAUGACUCAUUGGAAAAGUCCCUAAUGCUGGGAAAGAUUGAGGGCAGGAAGAAAAGAGGGCGUCAGAGGAGGGAUGGCUCCACCACAUCACCAAUGCAAUGAACGUGAACUUGGGCAAACUCUGGGAGAUGGUGAGGGACAGGGAGGCCUGGCAUGCUGCAGUCCAACGGGUCACAGGGGACUGAACAACAAGAACAACUUGAGCUUUCCAACCUAGUUUCAUUUAUUUCAUCAAUAAUAUUAGUAGAAGUUUAGGAAGUCUUUGAUGAACUGUAUCAAAGUGAAAGUGAAAGAAAGUGAAGUCGCUCAGUCAUGUCCAACUCUUUCAGACUCCAUGGACUAUAGCCUACCAGGCUCCUCUCUCCAUGGGAUUCUUCGGGCAGGAACACUGGAGUGGGUUGCCAUUUCCUUCUCCAGGGUAUCUUCCCAACCCAGGGAUCAAACCCAGGUCUCCUGCAUUGCAGGCAGAUGCUUUAACCUCUGAGCCACCAGGGAAGCCCUGUACCAAAGUGACACAUUAAAGUUUAAAAGCUUA